Molecule: ribosomal RNA, 265 nt
Filed under: Streptomyces sp. SID11385
Lineage: Bacteria; Bacillati; Actinomycetota; Actinomycetes; Kitasatosporales; Streptomycetaceae
Description: partial 16S ribosomal RNA
Rfam family: Bacterial small subunit ribosomal RNA
Source: RNAcentral
CAUUCACGGAGAGUUUGAUCCUGGCUCAGGACGAACGCUGGCGGCGUGCUUAACACAUGCAAGUCGAACGAUGAACCGCUUUCGGGCGGGGAUUAGUGGCGAACGGGUGAGUAACACGUGGGCAAUCUGCCCUGCACUCUGGGACAAGCCCUGGAAACGGGGUCUAAUACCGGAUACUCACUGCCUUGGGCAUCCAAGGUGGUGGAAAGCUCCGGCGGUGCAGGAUGAGCCCGCGGCCUAUCAGCUAGUUGGUGAGGUAAUGGCU